Ribosomal RNA from Gadus morhua (Atlantic cod), 119 nucleotides. Lineage: Eukaryota; Metazoa; Chordata; Actinopteri; Gadiformes; Gadidae. The record is from Ensembl.
GCUUACGGCCAUACCACCUUAGGCACGCCCGAUCUCGUCUGAUAUCGGAAGCUAAGCAGGGUCGGGCCUGGUUAGUACUUGGAUGGGUGACCGCCUGGGAAUACCAGGUGCUGUAAGCA